RNAcentral lists this transfer RNA (86 nucleotides) under human gut metagenome. It matches the Rfam family "tRNA". Rfam says of the family: Transfer RNA (tRNA) molecules are approximately 80 nucleotides in length. Their secondary structure includes four short double-helical elements and three loops (D, anti-codon, and T loops). RNAcentral also lists the same sequence under 1 other name. The record is from RNAcentral.
GAUAGAUGGCCGAGUGGUCGAAGGCGCACGAUUGGAAAUCGUGUGUGCGCCUAAAGCGUACCGAGGGUUCGAAUCCCUCUCUAUCC